CCUACGGGGGGCAGCAGUGAGGAAUAUUGGUCAAUGGCCGGAAGGCUGAACCAGCCAUGCCGCGUGAAGGUCAGUGCCCUAUGGGCGUUAAACUUCUUUUGUGCGGGAGCAAUAAUGGUCACGUGUGGCCAGACGAGAGUACCGUACGAAUAAGCAUCGGCUAACUCCGUGCCAGCAGCCGCGGUAAUACGGGGGAUGCAAGCGUUAUCCGGAUUUAUUGGGGUUAAAGGGUGCGUAGGCUGUGAGGUAAGUCAGCGGUGAAAUGCCCCCGCUCACCGGGGUGAAGUGCCAUUGAUACUGCCUUGCUGGAAUGCGGAUGCCGUGGGAGGAAUGUGUGGUGUAGCGGUGAAAUGCAUAGAUAUCACACAGAACACCGAUUGCGAAGGCAUCUCACGAAUCCGCGAUUGACGCUGAUGCACGAAAGCGUGGGUAUCAAACAGGAUUAGAUACCCCUGUAGUC
Molecule: ribosomal RNA, 460 nt
Filed under: uncultured bacterium
Lineage: Bacteria
Description: partial 16S ribosomal RNA
Rfam family: Bacterial small subunit ribosomal RNA
Source: RNAcentral